This 585-nucleotide ribosomal RNA is filed under the name uncultured bacterium. RNAcentral describes it as "partial 16S ribosomal RNA". It matches the Rfam family "Bacterial small subunit ribosomal RNA", at positions 355 to 1375 of the family's 1533-position model. The record is from RNAcentral.
UGGGGAAUUUUGGACAAUGGGCGAAAGCCUGAUCCAGCAAUGCCGCGUGUGUGAAGAAGGCCUUCGGGUUGUAAAGCACUUUUGUCCGGAAAGAAAUCCUUGGCUCUAAUACAGUCGGGGGAUGACGGUACCGGAAGAAUAAGCACCGGCUAACUACGUGCCAGCAGCCGCGGUAAUACGUAGGGUGCAAGCGUUAAUCGGAAUUACUGGGCGUAAAGCGUGCGCAGGCGGUUUGCUAAGACCGAUGUGAAAUCCCCGGGCUCAACCUGGGAACUGCAUUGGUGACUGGCAGGCUAGAGUAUGGCAGAGGGGGGUAGAAUUCCACGUGUAGCAGUGAAAUGCGUAGAGAUGUGGAGGAAUACCGAUGGCGAAGGCAGCCCCCUGGGCCAAUACUGACGCUCAUGCACGAAAGCGUGGGGAGCAAACAGGAUUAGAUACCCUGGUAGUCCACGCCCUAAACGAUGUCAACUAGUUGUUGGGGAUUCAUUUCCUUAGUAACGUAGCCAACGCGUGAAGUUGACCGCCUGGGGAGUACGGUCGCAAGAUUAAAACUCAAAUGAAUUGACGGGGUCAUAGCUGUUUCCU